GACAGUUUGGCCGAAUGGUCUAAGGCGCCAGAUUUAGGCUCUGGUCCGAAAUGGCGUGGCUUCAAAUCCCACAGCUGUCA
RNAcentral lists this transfer RNA (80 nucleotides) under Helianthus annuus (common sunflower). It matches the Rfam family "tRNA". Rfam says of the family: Transfer RNA (tRNA) molecules are approximately 80 nucleotides in length. Their secondary structure includes four short double-helical elements and three loops (D, anti-codon, and T loops). The record is from Rfam by way of RNAcentral. Lineage: Eukaryota; Viridiplantae; Streptophyta; Magnoliopsida; Asterales; Asteraceae.